This 461-nucleotide ribosomal RNA is filed under the name uncultured beta proteobacterium. RNAcentral's name for it is "bacterial SSU rRNA". It matches the Rfam family "Bacterial small subunit ribosomal RNA", at positions 200 to 642 of the family's 1533-position model. The record is from RNAcentral. Lineage: Bacteria; Pseudomonadati; Pseudomonadota; Betaproteobacteria.
AGGAAAGCAGGGGAUCGCAAGACCUUGCGCUUUUGGAGCGGCCGAUGUCUGAUUAGCUAGUUGGUGAGGUAAAGGCUUACCAAGGCUUCGAUCAGUAGCUGGUCUGAGAGGACGACCAGCCACACUGGGACUGAGACACGGCCCAGACUCCUACGGGAGGCAACAGUGGGGAAUUUUGGACAAUGGGGGCAACCCUGAUCCAGCCAUGCCGCGUGAGUGAAGAAGGCCUUCGGGUUGUAAAGCUCUUUCAGCCGGAACGAAAAGGUUACGGUUAAUACCCGUGACUAAUGACGGUACCGGAAGAAGAAGCACCGGCUAACUACGUGCCAGCAGCCGCGGUAAUACGUAGGGUGCGAGCGUUAAUCGGAAUUACUGGGCGUAAAGCGUGCGCAGGCGGUUUUGUAAGUCAGAUGUGAAAUCCCCGGGCUUAACCUGGGAACUGCGUUUGAAACUACAAGGCU